Molecule: non-coding RNA, 2583 nt
Organism: Cyanistes caeruleus (blue tit)
Lineage: Eukaryota; Metazoa; Chordata; Aves; Passeriformes; Paridae
Source: RefSeq, a predicted model, not a curated record
AUCAAACCUAAUAAAUGUUUACCCACCUCUCUGGUCUAGUUUUCUGUUGUUUACAUUCAUUUAUGAGAUUUAAAAACAUAUGUCUAACCCAACACCUUUAAGGAUAUCCUCUUCCAGAAAUAACCAAACCUUCUGUACUAAAGAGAGCAAAAAGACAGUCAGUCUCAGUUGUGUCAGGGCUGAGAGCCACAGUGAGGUCAGACAGCAAAAGAGCAGACCGUGACAGAUUUUAUAAUAGUCACAGCAAUGUGACUGCUGAAUGGUACAGAGCCUGGAGGAAUUCUUUCCCCAUGUCUUACUGGAGCCUGGUACCAGACAAUUUUGGACUCAACACUCAUGUUGUGCUCCUGUCUGCAAAUCAAAGGGAAGGGGAUGUGCUGUGGAGAUUCCUGGAGGGCUCGUGCCCAUAUUCAGCCUGCCCACAGCAUGGACCAGACUGCAGACAGGACAAGACACACUGGGCAGAGCUGAGAAGUGGGAAUAAGGGUGGGGUUCAGGCAAGAACAACACAGAAAUCCCCAUGCUGACUGAGAAGGACAUACAGCAUGGACUAACAAACAGCUCAGGGAUUGAGAUAUACCACUCUGAUCAUUAUUACUGUUGCUCUCCUUUUCAGUAUAGGACAUAUAUGUGCUGCUGACAGAGGUGUACAGAGUGGGGUCUGAGCAGCAGAGAGGGGAGACCCUGUGAGCACACCCUAAGCCCUGGGUCAGGUGGCAUUGCUGCAUGUUUAAUCACUCCCUAGCCUGGUUCUGUCAAAACAAUCCAGGUUGGUAAAAAUACUUUUCACAGCAAGGUUUGUUUACUAGUUUCAAAGCAGAAGCAGUGACAGAAAGGGGUUAGGGAGGAUCCUAACCUGUCCUGGUGGUGGGCUGGGAUGGCCAUCUCUAACCUGACCAAGCCACAGCUGAAGAAGCUGAACAACGUGUCCGGAGACCAUGAACAAAAAAAGGCAAGCUAGCAAGCAAGUAUAGACAACAGCAUGCCUCGAGCUGUACAGGAUUUAUGUUUAUCUCAGCAUCUGCCUUGCAAGUCGUGUGACACAUGGGGGGAUCCUGCACAUAGUCAGUCUCUGAGCAGAGAACCAGACCUUGCCCUUCUGAAGCUCCACAGUUGAUGUCAGCACUGAGCACAGCACAAGCUUCCCAUGACAGGAGCAAGGGUAACAAACUAAGUGCUUUAUCCGUUAGAGAAGAAAGCAAGUUUUAAGGAAAAACCAUGCUGGGUUUUGUUUGCAGGGCUUUUUUUAAAAAGUUUUGCACUCAGAACAGAUUUUCUUGAGAUCUGAGCUAAAUGGAAGAGCCAUAUACAACUGCAUACAAUUGUCCCUACCAACAGAGAACUCAAACUUGAAUAAAUGGCAGCCCUUGUAAACAUAAAAUGUCCUAAAUAUUCAUCACAGAAUCAUCAUAGAAUCACUUGGAUUGGAGGGGACCUUAACAAUCAUCUAGUUCCACUCAUGGAACAGGAACACCUUCCACUAGACCACGUUGCUUAAAGCCCCACCCAACCUGUCCUUGAACACUUCCAGAGAUGGGAGAAUCAUCACAUUACAUAAUUACUUAAUGUAAAUUGCAAAGGCUUUAUAAAACCAUCAAAUCUGAAGGGUAAGUUAGGGAGAUGUAAUGAAUAACCAUGUUCUCUUAAGAGGAAUAAGAUACAAGGUUAAGAUAAUGAAAUCUCACAAAACAGAGGCUUGCUGUUCAUUCUAAAAACAUGUAGUUACUGACUCCAAUAAUUAACCUUUGGCAUCCCAAAGACCUCCCUAGCACCCCAGCAGAGUGUCCAGAUGGGCUUCCUGCCUGUCUGCUGGGAUCAGGUUGCCCUGAGCAUCCUGAGAGCCACAUUUUUAAUCAUCCUGUGCCAUUCACACAGGGUGACUGCUUCUCUGUGCAACAGCUGUCUGUCUGACAGUGAGAGAGCUCCAGUUUCACUGAAAGAGUGGCUCCACAGAGGUCAGAGCCAUUAGAUACAUGAAACCCCGGUGAGAUUUUGAAUGGACAAUUUCCAAUUUGCCUGCAAUUAAAACAGCACCAGCCUAAACUACAUCGUUAUUAGGGCUGUGGUCUUUGGCAUUAAGACAUUUGCACAGAUGAGUAAAGCCUCCUUAUCCAUUCAUUUCAGCUGUUAAUGUGGUUAUUUCUCUUCACAGGACAUUGUCUUGGGAACUCUGCUGCAGGAAGACACAGCUUGGACAUUCAGCCUUGCCUCUGGGUUUUGUUUUCCUGUGUGUGAAUUGGAGGUGGCAGCAAAGGAAGUCAAGGGAAGAGAUGGAGGCAGGAGCUGGCGUGCAGAAACCCAUGCUCACUCUCAGCAGGCAUCCUGGCUGUGGCCUCCAUCUGCCAAGGCAAGCCACUUCAGGAUUGUCCUUGUGGCACAAAUAGGGGAAGCUGAGAAGAGGGAGAAGAAAUAUCACAAGGUGCAAAGGCAUCAUCCUGUCAAUGUUCCAGUCACUCCUGAGAAUCACCCCACUUGGACCAGAACACCUCCAAUUAACACUCACUAAUGCUGUAAAUGUCAAGAGGUUUAUCUCAGCCAAGCAAUGAGCAGAGAACAUUUAUGAAAGGAUCAGAAGAACCUCCA